CCUACGGGGAGCAGCAGUCGAGAAUCAUUCACAAUGGGGGAAACCCUGAUGGUGCGACGCCGCGUGGGGGAAUGAAGGUCUUCGGAUUGUAAACCCCUGUCAUGUGGGAGCAAAUUAAAAAGAUAGUACCACAAGAGGAAGAGACGGCUAACUCUGUGCCAGCAGCCGCGGUAAUACAGAGGUCUCAAGCGUUGUUCGGAAUCACUGGGCGUAAAGCGUGCGUAGGCUGUUUCGUAAGUCGUGUGUGAAAGGCGCGGGCUCAACCCGCGGACGGCACAUGAUACUGCGAGACGAGAGUAAGGGAGGGGGAACCGGAAGUCUCGGUGUAGCAGUGAAAUGCGUAGAUAUCGAGAGGAACACUCGUGGCGAAGGCGGGUUCCUGGACAUUAACUGACGCUGAGGCACGAAGGCCAGGGGAGCGAAAGGGAUUAGAUACCCCGGUAGUC
RNAcentral lists this ribosomal RNA (446 nucleotides) under uncultured bacterium. Its description in RNAcentral is "partial 16S ribosomal RNA". It matches the Rfam family "Bacterial small subunit ribosomal RNA", at positions 338 to 795 of the family's 1533-position model. The record is from RNAcentral.